Long non-coding RNA from Ixodes scapularis (black-legged tick), 419 nucleotides. RefSeq lists it as uncharacterized. The record is from RefSeq and is a predicted model, not a curated record. The transcript has 3 exons. NCBI's taxonomy places the organism in Eukaryota, Metazoa, Arthropoda, Arachnida, Ixodida, Ixodidae.
GGAUCUGUUGUGUCAUGGCGCUCACCAGUCCUGUGCACAAGGUGCAGGAGGUUUGAAAUAUUUUACUUUUUUGGCUUUUCUACAAACAUUUUCAGUGGUGACAUUCGAAUUGGUUCGUUGAAAGAUCGAUAAGCGCAUCAGGAAUGGAAUAAAUGUCAUAACUAUACUCUACUAGACAAAACUUCCUUGCUCUUACCCAGCGGCCCAAGCACGCUGAACGUUACAUCGAACCUGCGUUGAGCGUGGUUUAGACAUUCUUGUUGUGCUCACUGGCAUGUGUGUUCUCGUGCUCUUCUGCGACACGCCGGUCGUCCCAGCAUCUGACACAAGUGACAAUACACCCUCGACUGCAUGCAAACUGUAUGCCACAAUUAGGUUUUCUGCCUGGACACUCCUCGUGAAAGAGGGAUGGACAACCU